This 243-nucleotide unclassified non-coding RNA is filed under the name Hevea brasiliensis (rubber tree). The record is from RNAcentral. Lineage: Eukaryota; Viridiplantae; Streptophyta; Magnoliopsida; Malpighiales; Euphorbiaceae.
GGGGUAUGUUCUGUGAUUUUUCAUUUAGUAAUCAGCAUAAUCUAAUUUGUAAAAAGUUACUUUUUCUGAAUUGUAGUUGUCCUUAGCUAUGUAAUUAUUAUUUCUUUCUUCCCAACAAAAUGAAUCAGGAUUCAGGAAUUGAAUUCCUAAGCCCCCUUUCCCAGUUUUAUAUUUUUUCAAUAUUUAGCAUAUAUUAAAAAUUUUCCUUUCUCUAUCCCAGUUAAACUUCUUGAUUGGGGGGAG